RNAcentral lists this long non-coding RNA (1681 nucleotides) under Nicotiana tabacum (common tobacco). RNAcentral's name for it is "long non-coding RNA (NTAB_LNC007547)". The record is from RNAcentral. Lineage: Eukaryota; Viridiplantae; Streptophyta; Magnoliopsida; Solanales; Solanaceae.
CAGUAGUAGGAAUGUACUGAGAUUGGUUAUGUUAUACAACUUGUACAUUCUGAAGUAGACUCAUCAGCUACUUGUACUGCUCAUGGGUUGUGGUGGCAGAAGUGGCUUGACAUGGAGUAGAGAAGUCAUGAGAACACUCAGUUUUAGCUUCUGCGGAUGGCUGCACAUUUGCAUAAACAUUUACUAUGACCCUUCUAUUUUUAUUACUAGAUCAAAAGUUGAAAUUCUGUGGGAAACCACUCAAUUUAUAACAUUUGUCUUACAAUAGUUGCAGAAUUGUCUUUUAGGAUCAGAAACUCAUCUAUGGUUGUUGAAGUUGUACUUUUGAUCAUACAAGUUAGUUGGAUGUGAUAUGGGAUUUUGACUUUGACUUUGAGAGGAACCCACAGAGAAGUUGGUAUCUGGCUGAAAAUGAGGGACAUUUUGGAUACCUCUUUGUUUCUGGUCUUGCAUAACCGGAGAAUAAGCUUUAUUGACUUCAAGAAGAGGUUCCAUCAUGAGUAUAUAUAUUUCCCCUAGCAUUGUUAAAACCCUCAUUUAGUCCUAUUAGAAAUGCAUAAACUUCUGAUUUUGUUCAUUUUUUAUCAUCUUAUGCAUACCCUCACAACUGCACUAAUAAAAACAAUAAGAAUCAAAACUAAGAGACUCUAUUUGUUCUCAAAGUCUCUUCACUUUGUUGAAAUACCUAGCCACAUCAGAUGAUCCUUGAGAUACAAAACUCAAAUCUUUCUAGACCCUAUACUUCGAACCCCAUCAGAUUGACCAUAUCGCUAGUUCAACUUAUCCCAUAUACCAUUAGCAGUUUUAGAGUAUAUAACACUUUAGGACAUAUCGGGAUCAAGAGAAUUAAGGAUCCAGCUUAUAACUAUGUUAUUACACUAUUCUGAAUGUUCGUAUAAAGGGGAAUCAAGAGAAGGCUAGGUAUAAGUUCCAUUAAUAAAACCUAUUUUUUUAGCGGACAAAGCUAUGAUAAUUCCUCUCCUCCAGGCUCAAAGUAAGUUCCGUUGAAUUGCAUAGCCACAAGUACUACGCUUGGGUUGUUAGAAGGACUUAGAUAAAAAGGAUGAGAAAUAGAGAGAGAAGGGGGGUAAUUCUUCUAAUUUAGUACCAGUACUAGAGGCAUCGCCAGGCUCAACAUCAGAUCCCAUUGUGUAAAGUAUUUCUACCAAGAAACACCAGAUACACACCAAACACACACCCGCAAUGACAACACAGAAGAUAUACUGACACUAUAAGCAAUUGACAAAAUCUUACGAGUAAUGGAGAGAAAACAUCUAAACAAAAGAGAACUAGUGCACUGAACUAUCAAAUCUGGUAGAAUCUCCAGCACCCGAAAAUCACCAACAAUAACAAAUUGAUAAUGAACUCUACUAGAAAUUAGGAAUCUCGAUGGAAAAAUGCUCAAUUCUAUUCAAAACUCCAUUAAAUUUCUCAAUUUGCAAUAGAAGAUAAAAAAAAUAGGGUUUGUCGAAUUAAGAAUUCAUCAUGAAGGGAAAUUCACCAUGAAAAUCAAAGCAAUAGGUCAUCCAAACUUUGAUUCUAAUAAGUGGGGAUUUUGCCAACUUAUUAGCACCUUUUUGCUUUUGUUUUAGUUCGAACGUAUUGAUUUAUGUUCCCGAAACUAAUAAAAUUGCUUAAAUUGCAAGAAUAUUGGAAGUUUGGUCUCCCAUAAUGAAACUCC